RNAcentral lists this unclassified non-coding RNA (326 nucleotides) under soil metagenome. RNAcentral's name for it is "partial contains 5.8S ribosomal RNA, internal transcribed spacer 2, and large subunit ribosomal RNA". The stretch from base 1 to 120 matches the Rfam family "5.8S ribosomal RNA", at positions 35 to 154 of the family's 154-position model. The record is from RNAcentral.
GAUGAAGAACGUAUCGAAAUGCGAUAAGUAAUGUGAAUUGCAGAAUUCAGUGAAUCAUCGAAUCUUUGAACGCACAUUGCGCCCCUUGGUAUUCCGAGGGGCAUGCCUGUUCGAGCGUCAUAUUAACCACUCCCGCUUGCGGGGUCUUGGGCUUCGCCUCCGGGCGGGCCUUAAAAUCAGUGGCGGUGCCGUCGGGCUCUACGCGUAGUAAAUUUUCUCGCGAUAGGGUCCCGGUGGAUGCUUGCCAACAACCCCCAACUUCUUAAGGUUGACCUCGGAUCAGGUAGGGAUACCCGCUGAACUUAAGCAUAUCAAUAAGCGGAGGA